RNAcentral lists this ribosomal RNA (432 nucleotides) under uncultured bacterium. RNAcentral's name for it is "partial 16S ribosomal RNA". It matches the Rfam family "Bacterial small subunit ribosomal RNA", at positions 338 to 795 of the family's 1533-position model. The record is from RNAcentral.
CCUACGGGAGGCAGCAGUGGGGAAUAUUGGACAAUGGGCGCAAGCCUGAUCCAGCCAUGCCGCGUGAGUGAUGAAGGCCUUAGGGUUGUAAAGCUCUUUCGGCGGGGACGCGGUACCCGCAGAAGAAGCCCCGGCUAACUUCGUGCCAGCAGCCGCGGUAAUACGAAGGGGGCUAGCGUUGUUCGGAAUCACUGGGCGUAAAGGGCGCGUAGGCGGCCGAUCAAGUCGGGGGUGAAAGCCUGUGGCUUAACCACAGAAUGGCCUUCGAUACUGUUUGGCUUGAGACCGGAAGAGGUUAGUGGAACUGCGAGUGUAGAGGUGAAAUUCGUAGAUAUUCGCAAGAACACCAGUGGCGAAGGCGGCUAACUGGUCCGGUCUGACGCUGAGGCGCGAAAGCGUGGGGAGCAAACAGGAUUAGAUACCCUUGUAGUC